RNAcentral lists this ribosomal RNA (464 nucleotides) under uncultured bacterium. RNAcentral's name for it is "partial 16S ribosomal RNA". It matches the Rfam family "Bacterial small subunit ribosomal RNA", at positions 355 to 831 of the family's 1533-position model. The record is from RNAcentral.
UGGGGAAUAUUGCACAAUGGGCGAAAGCCUGAUGCAGCGACGCCGCGUGAGGGAUGACGGCCUUCGGGUUGUAAACCUCUUUCAGCAGGGAAGAAGCGAAAGUGACGGUACCUGCAGAAGAAGCGCCGGCUAACUACGUGCCAGCAGCCGCGGUAAUACGUAGGGCGCAAGCGUUGUCCGGAAUUAUUGGGCGUAAAGAGCUCGUAGGCGGUUAGUCGCGUCUGCUGUGAAAACUCGAGGCUCAACCUCGGGCUUGCAGUGGGUACGGGCUGACUAGAGUGCGGUAGGGGUGACUGGAAUUCCUGGUGUAGCGGUGGAAUGCGCAGAUAUCAGGAGGAACACCGAUGGCGAAGGCAGGUCACUGGGCCGCAACUGACGCUGAGGAGCGAAAGCAUGGGGAGCGAACAGGAUUAGAUACCCUGGUAGUCCAUGCCGUAAACGUUGGGCACUAGGUGUGGGGUCCA